AUACGGAGGGUGCAAGCGUUACUCGGAAUCACUGGGCGUAAAGCGCGCGCAGGCGGUCUUUUAAGUUGGAUGUGAAAGCCUACGGCUCAACCGUAGAACUGCAUCCAAAACUAUUAGACUAGAGUGUGGAAGAGGAAGAUGGAAUUAGUUGUGUAGGGGUAAAAUCCGUAGAGAUAACUAGGAAUACCAAAAGCGAAGGCAAUCUUCUGGAACACUACUGACGCUGAGGCGCGAAAGCGUGGGGAGCAAACGGGAUUAGAAACCCUGGUAGUCC
Molecule: ribosomal RNA, 274 nt
Filed under: uncultured bacterium
Lineage: Bacteria
Description: partial 16S ribosomal RNA
Rfam family: Bacterial small subunit ribosomal RNA
Source: RNAcentral